AACGAACGCUGGCGGCAGGCCUAACACAUGCAAGUCGAGCGCUCCGCAAGGGGAGUGGCGCACGGGUGAGUAACACGUGGGAACCUACCUUCUGGUACGGAACAACCAAGGGAAACUUUGGCUAAGACCGUAUACGACCUCCGGGUGAAAGAUUGAUCGCCGGAAGAGGGGCCCGCGUCCGAUUAGGUAGUUGGUGAGGUAACGGCUCACCAAGCCUUCGAUCGGUAGCUGGUCUGAGAGGAUGACCAGCCACACUGGGACUGAGACACGGCCCAGACUCCUACGGGAGGCAGCAGUGGGGAAUAUUGGACAAUGGGCGCAAGCCUGAUCCAGCCAUGCCGCGUGAGUGAUGAAGGCCUUC
This 361-nucleotide ribosomal RNA is filed under the name uncultured bacterium. RNAcentral describes it as "bacterial SSU rRNA". It matches the Rfam family "Bacterial small subunit ribosomal RNA", at positions 29 to 419 of the family's 1533-position model. The record is from RNAcentral.